Long non-coding RNA from Neofelis nebulosa (Clouded leopard), 701 nucleotides. RefSeq lists it as uncharacterized. The transcript has 3 exons. The record is from RefSeq and is a predicted model, not a curated record. NCBI's taxonomy places the organism in Eukaryota, Metazoa, Chordata, Mammalia, Carnivora, Felidae.
UCGGCCAACGUUGUGAGCCUAAGGGCUGCCAAGGUUUGGGACUUUCCUUGGUGCUAUGGCAUCUCCUUACCAGACUGAUGGGGUAAAGUUUCCAUCCUCCCCACCAGCCCCCACCUACACACCCAUACCCACACUCACACAUCCUGCUUCCACCUGCUCUUUGCCCAGAUAAAGAUUAGCCCAUCCUCCCUCAUUCCUCCACACCCUCUGCCUCUGAUCCUCCCAGUGUCCCUGGCCCGUCCGGCCUCCCCACCCUAUACAAAUACACCUGAGGUUAGAAGGAGCCUCAGACUUAUUCCCUCUCCUUGCUCUCUGCUCUCAGGUGUUCCUUUUGUCACUCCCUGUGCUUGCUGUAUAAGGAUGGAGUCAGGGGCACUGCCAUGGUGGUGGCCAUGGCCCUGGGCCCUGUUGUGGGGAAAGGCACCCCCCUGGCCAUGGUCCUGGGCACUGUCCUGGGGGGAGCCACUGCCCAGGGCCCUGUGGGCACCCCCCUGGCCAUGGUCCAGGGCACUGUCCUGGGGGAAGCCACCCCCCAGGGCCCUGUGGGCCCCAACCUGGUCCACCUCACUAAGGAAGCAAAAGAAAGAGGAUACAAGAAUGGGGAGUGUGAGUGGGUUGCCCUGCUGACCUGGCAUGGAGCCUGAACCAGAAUCUCCUCUUUCUAAUAAACAGCCUCCCAGAAGCCAUGUUUUACUCUUAAA